This 346-nucleotide unclassified non-coding RNA is filed under the name soil metagenome. RNAcentral's name for it is "partial contains 5.8S ribosomal RNA, internal transcribed spacer 2, and large subunit ribosomal RNA". The stretch from base 1 to 119 matches the Rfam family "5.8S ribosomal RNA", at positions 35 to 154 of the family's 154-position model. The record is from RNAcentral.
GAUGAAGAACGUAGCGAAAUGCGAUACGUAAUGUGAAUUGCAAAUUCAGUGAAUCAUCGAGUCUUUGAACGCACAUUGCGCCCCCUGGUAUUCCGGGGGGCAUGCCUGUCCGAGCGUCAUUGCUGCCCUCAAGCACGGCUUGUGUGUUGGGCCCCGUCCUCCGAUCCCGGGGGACGGGCCCGAAAGGCAGCGACGGCACCGCGUCCGGUCCUCGAGCGUAUGGGGCUUUGUCACCCGCUCUGUAGGCCCGGCCGGCGCUUGCCGAUCAACCCAAAUUUUUUAUCCAGGUUGACCUCGGAUCAGGUAGGGAUACCCGCUGAACUUAAGCAUAUCAAUAAGCGGAGGA